AGGUAAACUUCAGUCAAGUGACACUCAAACAAUAUGGCCGCUUUAAAAUUAUUCUUCUUGACAAUUUUAACCUACGUCUACGUGUCAAACGGUGUUAUGAUCCGGAGACCGAAAGAACUGACAGGACCUGAACGAGAAGCUGCUGUAGAACAUUUAUAUACUGGUCUGCAUAAAGUUUCUAUUUCAGGUGGUCCAGUAUACAAAGUGUUGAGAGUUAAUAAGGUGACUAAUCAUGAAAUAAGUAGUAUUCCUUCAGACAAUAAUAGUUUCUCUGUGGAUACCUACGAUGUUGAUCUGGUUGUUGGAAGAGUUAUCAAGAAGUGUAUAGUCCAAAUCAUAAUCCAAAAUUAUCCGCCCACGACGGUCCGUAAUACCAUUUCGAUCCGGUGUAAUGGGAAACUGGAAUUUGAAAUUAACUAUUAAUCAGUCGUCGAAUGAAUUGAACUAUUGAACUAAUAUAUUUUUCCAUUUUGCGGUAUAUACGUUUUAAACUGCAAAAAAGGGUUUGGGUUUUUAAAACUUCACUACAGCAAUUUGUAUUUGCAAGAUUAAUAAUAAAAUUAGAUUCAGAAAAAGUGAAAAAGGUUCAGCUGUACUUGAUAUCUCGUGACAUAAAGCGAAUUAUUAUUUUUUCAGCUUCAUUUAUUAUACGGGAAUUUAUAAUUGAUCUUGCAUAGUUAUAAAUUAUUUAUUUACGCUUUAUGUAAAAUGUUUUAAAAUGCAUUCCUAUAUAAAGAAGAGUGUUUCCCAAGCAAACGUCAGUCAACUGACACUCCAGAAAUAUGGUCGCUAAUAAAUUUUUACUUUUGACAAUUUUAACCUACGUCUACGUGUCAAACGCUGAUAUUCUCCCGGAACCAAGCGAGCUGACAGGACCUGAACGAGAAGCUGCUAUUAAUAGAUUAUAUAUUGCACUGUAUGAAAUAUAUGUUGAUGAAGGUCCUGAAUACAGGGUGAUCAAAGUGAGUAAGAUUUUUAAUUUAAAAUCUCCUGGUUAUUCUGAGGAUACUUACGAUGUGGAUCUGGCUCUUGGAAGAAUUCCCAAGCAGUGUGUAGUCAAAAUGAGUAUCGAUACUCGAACGCCUUUGAGAAUAAUUAAAAAAAUUAAGAUCCUGUGUAAUGGUAAACUGGAAUUUCAGAAGAUCUAUUAAACCAGAAUAUUUGUCAUUUUUUUU
This is a long non-coding RNA of Drosophila albomicans, 1175 nucleotides long. RefSeq lists it as uncharacterized. NCBI's taxonomy places the organism in Eukaryota, Metazoa, Arthropoda, Insecta, Diptera, Drosophilidae. The transcript has 3 exons. The record is from RefSeq and is a predicted model, not a curated record.